Molecule: ribosomal RNA, 273 nt
Filed under: Antillorbis nordestensis
Lineage: Eukaryota; Metazoa; Mollusca; Gastropoda; Planorbidae
Description: partial large subunit ribosomal RNA
Source: RNAcentral
CAAUUGGCUUUUAAUUGAAGUCUGGAAUGAAUGGGAUUUUGGGGCUUUGCUGUCUUAAUAUUUAAAAUUUUUAAUUUAUUUAUUUAGUGAAAAUACUAAAAAUUAGAAAAAAGACGAGAAGACCCUGAGAGUUUUUAGAAAAUUUUUAAAUUAUUUCUUUUUGUUGGGGCGACAAAUAACCAGUUAUAAAACGUUAUUAUAAUAAACACGACGAAUGUUUUAAAAAUGAAAAAACUACCUUAGGGAUAACAGCAUAAUAACUUUAGUUGUUUG